CAGCAGCCACGGUAAAACGAAGGGUGCAAGCGUUAAUCGGAAUUACUGGGCGUAAAGCGUGCGUAGGCGGUUUGUUAAGUCUGUUGUGAAAUCCCCGGGCUCAACCUGGGAAUGGCAGUGGAUACUGGCUCGCUAGAGUGUGUCAGAGGAUGGUGGAAUUCCCGGUGUAGCGGUGAAAUGCGUAGAGAUCGGGAGGAACAUCAGUGGCGAAGGCGGCCAUCUGGGACAACACUGACGCUGAGGCACGAAAGCGUGGGGAGCAAACAGGAUUAGAUACCCGCGUAGUCCCUGUCUCUUAUAC
Molecule: ribosomal RNA, 301 nt
Filed under: uncultured bacterium
Lineage: Bacteria
Description: partial 16S ribosomal RNA
Rfam family: Bacterial small subunit ribosomal RNA
Source: RNAcentral